This 85-nucleotide transfer RNA is filed under the name Hydrogenophilus thermoluteolus. RNAcentral's name for it is "tRNA-Leu". It matches the Rfam family "tRNA". Rfam says of the family: Transfer RNA (tRNA) molecules are approximately 80 nucleotides in length. Their secondary structure includes four short double-helical elements and three loops (D, anti-codon, and T loops). RNAcentral also lists the same sequence under 4 other names. The record is from RNAcentral. Lineage: Bacteria; Pseudomonadati; Pseudomonadota; Hydrogenophilia; Hydrogenophilales; Hydrogenophilaceae.
GCCCAGGUGGCGGAAUUGGUAGACGCGCUAGAUUCAGGUUCUAGUGCCGCAAGGCGUGGAGGUUCGAGUCCUCUCCUGGGCACCA